RNAcentral lists this ribosomal RNA (460 nucleotides) under uncultured bacterium. RNAcentral describes it as "partial 16S ribosomal RNA". It matches the Rfam family "Bacterial small subunit ribosomal RNA", at positions 338 to 795 of the family's 1533-position model. The record is from RNAcentral.
CCUACGGGCGGCAGCAGUGAGGAAUAUUGGUCAAUGGACGGGAGGCUGAACCAGCCAAGUCGCGUGAGGGAAGACGGCCCUACGGGUUGUAAACCUCUUUUGUCCGGGAGCAAGGUGCAGGUCGGGACCCUCUGUGAGAGUACCUGAAGAAAAAGCAUCGGCUAACUCCGUGCCAGCAGCCGCGGUAAUACGGAGGAUGCGAGCGUUAUCCGGAUUUAUUGGGUUUAAAGGGUGCGUAGGCGGAUUGAUAAGGUAGAGGUGAAAUGUCCGGGCUUAACUCGGGAACUGCCGCUAAUACUGUGGAGCUAGAGAGUAGAUGCGGUAGGCGGAAUGUAUGGUGUAGCGGUGAAAUGCUUAGAGAUCAUACAGAACACCGAUUGCGAAGGCAGCUUACUAAACUGUGACUGACAUUGAUGCUCGAAGGUGUGGGUAUCAAACAGGAUUAGAUACCCUUGUAGUC